AUUGAACGCUGGCGGUAUGCUUAACACAUGCAAGUCGAACGGUAACAUAGAAGCUUGCUUCUGAUGACGAGUGGCGGACGGGUGAGUAAAGCGUAGGAAUUUGCCCAGUAGUGGGGGACAACAUGUGGAAACGCAUGCUAAUACCGCAUACGCCCUAAGGGGGAAAGCAGGGGAUCUUCGGACCUUGCGCUAUUGGAGAAGCCUGCGUCGGCCAUUAGCUAGUUGGUAGGGUAAUGGCCUACCAAGGCGACGAUCCGUAGCUGGUCUGAGAGGAUGAUCAGCCACACUGGGACUGAGACACGGCCCAGACUCCUACGGGAGGCAGCAGUGGGGAAUAUUGGACAAUGGGGGCAACCCUGAUCCAGCAAUGCCACGUGUGUGAAGAAGGCCUUAGGGUUGUAAAGCACUUUCAGUAGGGAGGAAAGGUUGUGUAUUAAUAGUGCAUAACUGUGACGUUACCUACAGAAGAAGCACCGGCUAACUCCGUGCCAGCAGCCGCGGUAAUACGGAGGGUGCAAGCGUUAAUCGGAAUUACUGGGCGUAAAGCGCGCGUAGGUGGAUAUUUAAGUCAGAUGUGAAAGCCCAGGCCUCAACCUGGGAACUGCAUUUCGAACUGGCAGGCUAGAGUAUGGUAGAGGUAAGUGGAAUUUCCUGUGUAGCGGUGAAAUGCGUAGAUAUAGGAAGGAACACCAGUGGCGAAGGCGACUUACUGGACCAAUACUGACACUGAGGUGCGAAAGCGUGGGGAGCAAACGGGAUUAGAUACCCCGGUAGUCCACGCCGUAAACGAUGUCUACUAGCCGUUGGGAGACUUGAUCUCUUAGUGGCAGCUAACGCAAUAAGUAGACCGCCUGGGGAGUACGGCCGCAAGGUUAAAACUCAAAUGAAUUGACGGGGGCCCGCACAAGCGGUGGAGCAUGUGGUUUAAUUCGAUGCAACGCGAAGAACCUUACCUGGUCUUGACAUCCUACGAACUUACUAGAGAUAGUUUGGUGCCUUCGGGAACGUAGUGACAGGUGCUGCAUGGCUGUCGUCAGCUCGUGUUGUGAAAUGUUGGGUUAAGUCCCGUAACGAGCGCAACCCUUGUCCUUAUUUGCCAGCACGUAAUGGUGGGAACUUUAAGGAGACUGCCGGUGACAAACCGGAGGAAGGUGGGGACGACGUCAAGUCAUCAUGGCCCUUACGGGAUGGGCUACACACGUGCUACAAUGGCCAGUACAAAGGGCAGCCAACUCGCGAGAGUGCGCAAAUCCCAUAAAGCUGGUCGUAGUCCGGAUUGGAGUCUGCAACUCGACUCCAUGAAGUUGGAAUCGCUAGUAAUCGUAGAUCAGAAUGCUACGGUGAAUACGUUCCCGGGCCUUGUACACACCGCCCGUCACACCAUGGGAGUGGGAUGCAAAAGAAGUCGCUAGUUUAAUCCUUCGGGAGGGACGGUUACCACUUUGUGAUUCAUGACUGGGGUGAAGUCGGAA
This 1472-nucleotide ribosomal RNA is filed under the name uncultured prokaryote. RNAcentral describes it as "partial 16S ribosomal RNA". It matches the Rfam family "Bacterial small subunit ribosomal RNA". The record is from RNAcentral.